Passer domesticus (house sparrow) is the source of this 336-nucleotide long non-coding RNA. RefSeq lists it as uncharacterized. NCBI's taxonomy places the organism in Eukaryota, Metazoa, Chordata, Aves, Passeriformes, Passeridae. The transcript is spliced from 3 exons. The record is from RefSeq and is a predicted model, not a curated record.
AAAAACAGCUUCCUAGAACAGCUUAUGUCUAAUCAGGUGAAAGGAAGUUCAUGAAACCUGAAAUUCACUUUGACUGUGACAACAGACAGUUUCUAGGAAAAGAGAGCAAACCUAGAGACUUUUUGUGACAGCUAAGCCAGAAAAGGUAGCAGAAGAACAACCACUGGCUCCCCAGGAUAAAAACUUCUUUCAUAUUAGUCCUCACAUUUUUCUGCAUUUAGCUUUCCCCAGAUUUCCCAGCUGCACUAGACCAAUGGCUCUUAUGAGACCCAGCAUAAUCCAGCUCUGAUUUUUUACAAUACAACCAAAUAACCAAAUCCUCAUUAAUAAAGCCAG